Pelobates fuscus (common spadefoot toad) is the source of this 518-nucleotide long non-coding RNA. RefSeq lists it as uncharacterized. NCBI's taxonomy places the organism in Eukaryota, Metazoa, Chordata, Amphibia, Anura, Pelobatidae. The record is from RefSeq and is a predicted model, not a curated record. The transcript has 2 exons.
AGAGCGCACAAUGAAACAGCUUGGCACCGAGGGUCGGUGUGUCUGCGCUGCGAAUGUUGCUGGGCCAGCUUGCGGUGUGGGUGGAGCUGGCCACCUCCCUAACUCUUGGAUAAAACCAAUUUCUCCGUCUGCCUGGUGCAGUGGUUCUUAACAGUUCAACAGUUCUCUAUCGAAAUUGUGAAAUGUUUAGGACCACUUGAUCAGGAGGACACGCUCUUCAGGGAAAAGCCAUGAUUGGAAUACAGCGGGCACUUCACUCGUCCUCGCUGCCUGGAAGGAUUAGAAGCCACCAGGGACAUUUUCCUCCGAAUAUCUGGAGCUCACUAUAUUAACUGUUUAUUUGCCAAGAUGGUGCAUGGCUACUGUGGAUCGUUUAGCCCGUUUGCUGUCAGGAUUCCGCGUUUCGGCAGAAUAUUCUGGCAGCACAAUGGGUUAACAUUCAGUGCGAUCCUUUCACAUAUAUAAGUUGCAAUUUCCUUUUACUAAAACUGAUUUAGGAAGAGGAAAUCUAAUUUAAA